GAUCCUGGCUCAGGAUAAACGCUAGCGGCAGGCCUAACACAUGCAAGUCGAGGGGCAGCGGAUGGAGUGCUUCGGUACUCCUGCCGGCGACCGGCGGACGGGUGCGUAACGCGUAUGCAACCUGCCUUCAACAGGGGGAUAAUCCGAAGAAAUUUGGUCUAAUACCCCAUAAUAUUCCGACAGGCAUCUGUCGGAGUUGAAAGCUUCGGUGGUUGGAGAUGGGCAUGCGUUGUAUUAG
RNAcentral lists this ribosomal RNA (238 nucleotides) under uncultured bacterium. RNAcentral describes it as "partial 16S ribosomal RNA". It matches the Rfam family "Bacterial small subunit ribosomal RNA", at positions 15 to 244 of the family's 1533-position model. The record is from RNAcentral.